CAAACCCGUCGGUAUUUUUUUUUUUUUUUUUUUUUGAGUUUUCGUUUCACCUUCAGUCGUGUUCGUGCGCUAACAUGCCGGUGAUCGUUACAGACUUCACGUGGACGCAGACCGAGGACGCGGUGCGCGUGCACGUGCCUCUUAAGGGGGCACGAGCCUGUAAGGUCGACAUAAUCUCCACCGACCGAUACCUAAAGGUGCAUUUCCCUCCGUUCCUCUUCGAGGCGUUUCUGUAUCGACCCGUGGACGAAAACCGAAGCUCAGCCAAGAUCGGAAACGGAGUCGCUGUCUUUACUUUAAUGAAAACAUCCAGAGAAACCUGGGAGCAGCUGAUGAUGUCAUGCGAUAAAGAAACCAAGCAGCAGCUGAGGGAAGAAGUUCUGCUGAAACACCAACAGAAACUUUCAUCACAGUCCAGAUCUAAAGCUGAGAAACAGCAGGCAGAGAAGAAGUACUUACUGGAGACCAUGAUGAAGCUGGAACAGGAUGUAAGAGACAACAUCCAGAAGAUGAAGGAGGCGGAGCGUCAGAAGACCACGGCAGAGCUGGAGGCGUGGCAGGAGAUCUGCGAAAAAACAAACACCAACGAAGAAGAAGAAGACCUGAAGAAAAAAGGAAAAACAAACAGUGAAAACAUCAAGCAGCCAGUGAGAACCUGCAAGAAAAAAACGGAACAGAAGCGAACUCCUCCGAGAACCUCAGGAAACAUUCAGGUCACGUUCACGCCUCGAGUUUUCCCAACGGCCCUCAGAGAAUCCAGGGUCCAGGAGGAGGAGGAGUGGUUAAAGAACCAGGCCGAGGCUCGACGUUCUCGCAGCUCAGGUGCUGAAGAUCUGCAGGAACUGAGUGAGAACGAGAAGAACCCAGAGUGGCUGAAGGACAAGGGAGACUGCUACUUCAGGUCAGGUGACUACCAGAGUGCGGUCAACGCCUACAGUCUGGCCCUCAGGCUCAACCAGAACCUGCUCUCAGUUUGGUCCAACAGAGCAGCCAGUCACCUGAAGCUCAGGAACCUGCACCAGGCAGUCCAGGACUCGUCUCAGGCCCUGGACUUGUCAACACCUGCUGUUCCCUCCAAUGCAGCGUCCAGAGCCAGAGCUCAUGUUCACAGAGGAGCGGCUUUCUGUGAGCUGGAGCUCUACGUGGAAGGUCUUCAGGAUUAUGAAGCAGCUCUUAAGAUUUUUCCGGACUCACCUGGUCUGCAGUCGGACGCUCAGAAAAUAAGAGACGUCAUCGAGGGGAGGGAGACAACGUCUGCCUCCUGGUGAGGUCCUCCAGAGACACGUCUGCUGCUCUGAUCUGAUUGGUUCAGAUGAUCUGCACUUAGUUUAUUAGGCUGGACCAGGACCAGGACCAGGACCAGGACCAGGACCAGGGAAGGCUAACAUCUGCCAGAGAUUCCCGGAUCUUCCGUCAUGUUCCGCUGCAGCGGCCUCUCGACUCCUCUUUACCCGUCCUUCCUGCCUCCUCCGUCGGCCUUCUCUCCUCCGUCGUCCCGCUCUCUGAG
RNA transcript from Cynoglossus semilaevis (tongue sole), 1507 nucleotides. It is a transcript of the gene named dynein axonemal assembly factor 4, with no coding region annotated. NCBI's taxonomy places the organism in Eukaryota, Metazoa, Chordata, Actinopteri, Pleuronectiformes, Cynoglossidae. The record is from RefSeq and is a predicted model, not a curated record. The transcript has 11 exons.